GCUGGUGGCGACCCUCUCUUUGGCGGGCGGUGUAAUCACGCGUACGGUCAUCAGACCUUGCAGAUACCCAAAGGCCCGCCCCGUGCGGGCUUUUUUG
RNAcentral lists this small RNA (97 nucleotides) under Chimaeribacter coloradensis. RNAcentral describes it as "Tryptophan operon leader". The record is from RNAcentral. Lineage: Bacteria; Pseudomonadati; Pseudomonadota; Gammaproteobacteria; Enterobacterales; Yersiniaceae.